AACGAACGCUGGCGGCAUGCCUAACACAUGCAAGUCGAACGAGACCUUCGGGUCUAGUGGCGAACGGGUGCGUAACGCGUGGGAACCUGCCCUUAGGUUCGGAAUAACUCCCCGAAAGGGGUGCUAAUACCGGAUAAUGUCUUCGGACCAAAGAUUUAUCGCCUUUGGAUGGGCCCGCGUUGGAUUAGCUAGUUGUUAGGGUAAAAGCCUACCAAGGCGACGAUCCAUAGCUGGUCUGAGAGGAUGAUCAGCCACACUGGGACUGAGACACGGCCCAGACUCCUACGGGAGGCAGCAGUGGGGAAUAUUGGACAAUGGGCGAAAGCCUGAUCCAGCAAUGCCGCGUGAGUGAUGAAGGCCUUAGGGUUGUAAAGCUCUUUUACCCGGGAUGAUAAUGACAGUACCGGGAGAAUAAGCUCCGGCUAACUCCGUG
This 433-nucleotide ribosomal RNA is filed under the name uncultured bacterium. RNAcentral's name for it is "partial 16S ribosomal RNA". It matches the Rfam family "Bacterial small subunit ribosomal RNA", at positions 29 to 507 of the family's 1533-position model. The record is from RNAcentral.